RNAcentral lists this ribosomal RNA (404 nucleotides) under Actinomycetes bacterium. RNAcentral's name for it is "Actinobacteria bacterium partial 16S ribosomal RNA". It matches the Rfam family "Bacterial small subunit ribosomal RNA", at positions 355 to 776 of the family's 1533-position model. The record is from RNAcentral. Lineage: Bacteria; Bacillati; Actinomycetota; Actinomycetes.
UGGGGAAUAUUGGACAAUGGGCGCAAGCCUGAUCCAGCCAUGCCGCGUGAGUGAUGAAGGCCCUAGGGUUGUAAAGCUCUUUCACCGGUGAAGAUAAUGACGGUAACCGGAGAAGAAGCCCCGGCUAACUUCGUGCCAGCAGCCGCGGUAAUACGAAGGGGGCUAGCGUUGUUCGGAUGUACUGGGCGUAAAGCGCACGUAGGCGGACUUUUAAGUCAGGGGUGAAAUCCCGGGGCUCAACCCCGGAACUGCCUUUGAUACUGGAAGUCUUGAGUAUGGUAGAGGUGAGUGGAAUUCCGAGUGUAGAGGUGAAAUUCGUAGAUAUUCGGAGGAACAACAGUGGCGAAGGCGGCUCACUGGACCAUUACUGACGCUGAGGUGGGAAGGCGUGGGGAGCAAACAGG